CUUUAAAAAUGUGCGAACAGAAUCGCUGUUUGACACUAAUAAGCAUAUUUAUUUUAAAUGUGUAUAAAUGUACAAUGCAUAAAUCAAAUCUAAUACAUGUACUACCUAAUAUUUUCUGUGAGCGUUGAGUGGAUACAUGAAUAAAGAGUCAGCCGAAAUCCUCUCGACACUGGAAGUAAUGGAAAGUCAGGUUCGGCAAUUUUAUCUUCUUCGUCUGAAGUGGAAACACAAGGAGCGUUUGUAUCAUCAGGUUUUCCCAGUGCAUCGCAACUAGCCUGUUCAGGUGGACUUGGAUCGCCAGGCUGGCUACAGUCGUUCUGAGACUGCUCAAUGAUGUCACUAACAUUCAU
Gigantopelta aegis is the source of this 350-nucleotide long non-coding RNA. RefSeq lists it as uncharacterized. The record is from RefSeq and is a predicted model, not a curated record. The transcript is spliced from 3 exons. Lineage: Eukaryota; Metazoa; Mollusca; Gastropoda; Neomphalida; Peltospiridae.